Long non-coding RNA from Ictalurus punctatus (channel catfish), 1392 nucleotides. NCBI's taxonomy places the organism in Eukaryota, Metazoa, Chordata, Actinopteri, Siluriformes, Ictaluridae. The record is from Ensembl.
CUUAGAAAGCGUAUCUCUCAUUAUUCCGUAUUUAGAUCAUCGAUUUUACGCUCAAAAUCUGUCAUUUGAAAGAAAUUAAUCUGAUUUACAGACCGGAGUUCCGACCUGAUCCUAAUCCCCGAUCCUAAUCCCGGUCCUGAUCCUGAUCUCGGAAUCCUCUCCGAUAACACUAAUCGUCGGCCCUGAUGAGGGUUUACGCCGUUGCGUUACUCUGUCCACGCCGCUUUUGUGCGAAGCCUCGAGACGCAUGUUGUGACAUAUGCGCUGGCAGGAAAUUCAUACAUUUCAGAUUCAGAAUAAUUCCUGAUGCUACACAGCUUUCAAAGGAGCGAUGGAACAGAACACACACACACACACACACACACACACACAGACAUACUAGCACAGGCAGCACAUUAAUUAACUUUUCUAAAGCAGCGUGUGUCUGUAGUUAAACGCUUUUUUUUUUUGCCAUCGUCAGAGUCAAGGCUGUACGCAGGCAAAAGAGGAACAUUAAUUACACACAAUGGCCCCCUUCAGCAGAUGCGUAGUGUCCGAGCCCCUUCACAGCUGUGCUGCAUUAGAGGCCCUAAGAGCCGAGGGUCUGACACAGCCAGCCAGUAAACAAUCCCCUUCCCCUAUUACUCACACACACACACACACACACACACACUCAUACACACACACCAAAUCAACCCGCUUUUAUCCAGCCAUUACGUUCACCCCAUCUUUUAUUUAUUUAUUUAUUUAUUUAUAAAUAAACAAAUAAGACCCCAUUUCUCCCCACUCCAACAUGUCACCACUCAAAUGUUUGGAAGAUUGUAAGCAGAAAAGUUAUUUAUUUAUUUAUUUAUUUUUGGACAAAAUGUCAGUUAAAGGAUACUUCCAUCAAGUUCCUGUUGUGCAAAUCAAGAUGACAUCAUCAAACACACACACACACACACACACACACACACACACGCGCGCUUUUCUGAAUCAUCAUCAUCAUCGUGGCUCGAAAUCGAAUUCGUAUUUUCAAAAACAGAAACCAAUACAACUCCCAUUAUAAUCAUGAGAACCAUUACAAGUUCAAUGAGGGUUUCUACUUUAUUGAAUUUGACCGUAGAUUCUCUACAUUAUUUACCCCGCCGGCUGUGUUUCUCCGAUCCCCCGGGGGUCACCGGACCCCACUUUGAGAACCAGCGGUCAUAGAAACCGUCACACAGUCCUCAUAAGAACCAUCACGACAGUUCACACGACAAAACACGGAGGUUGUGAUUGCUUCUCACUGGAGCAUUUUCUCAGCCAUUAUACUGUAUAUUUGCCAGCAGUUAGCCUCCCUUCUUCUUUAUCGGACAAGGUGUUCAGGUGAGAUAGGGCUCUGUUAAGAGGAAGUGUGUUUAUCAGCUGGUUCUCUCUGAUGCUUGACUGAUG